UAUUGCCUAGAGUCGUGUUGUGAAGCCAGAUCCCAGGUGAAUAACGAAGAACUCAUUGCUAGGUCAUUAGAUAUCAGUUUUAUUUCGCUUUUGUUCAUCCAGUCACUCCCAGGUGGAUAUUCUGAGUGAAUAAAGGCUAGCGAGUGUAGAAGUCAGAAUGGAUGAAAAACCAGCGGUGGACGAGGCAGGGAAUCAUUCACUACAAGACUACAACCAGCCACCCCAGUACGCACAGCCACCCCAGUAUGCCCAGCCACCCAAUGCUCCAGUGCAGGGUAUGUGGGGACCAGCACCUGUGAUGACGCAGCCGAUGACUUCCAUGAACACCAACAAUCAUCAACAACCAACCUGCCCCUAUCAUCCAACUACCCCGAGUUUGGAGCUCAGGCGUCUGCGACAUGUGUAACGACAUGGGCAUUUGCUGCAUGGUUACGUUUUGCGGGAUGUGUUCCGGGUGUCAGCUGGCCAUGGACAUGGGAGAGAGCUGCUGUCUGCCUCUGUGUGUACCCGGUUGGCUUAUCACCCUUAGAACGAAGAUGCGAACACAAUAUAACAUUCAG
Long non-coding RNA from Pomacea canaliculata, 560 nucleotides. RefSeq lists it as uncharacterized. The record is from RefSeq and is a predicted model, not a curated record. The transcript has 3 exons. Lineage: Eukaryota; Metazoa; Mollusca; Gastropoda; Architaenioglossa; Ampullariidae.